This 585-nucleotide ribosomal RNA is filed under the name uncultured bacterium. Its description in RNAcentral is "bacterial SSU rRNA". It matches the Rfam family "Bacterial small subunit ribosomal RNA", at positions 338 to 916 of the family's 1533-position model. The record is from RNAcentral.
CCUACGGGAGGCAGCAGUGGGGAAUUUUGGACAAUGGGCGAAAGCCUGAUCCAGCAAUGCCGCGUGAGUGAAGAAGGCCUUCGGGUUGUAAAGCUCUUUUGUCAGGGAAGAAACGGUGAGGGCUAAUAUCCCUUGCUAAUGACGGUACCUGAAGAAUAAGCACCGGCUAACUACGUGCCAGCAGCCGCGGUAAUACGUAGGGUGCAAGCGUUAAUCGGAAUUACUGGGCGUAAAGCGUGCGCAGGCGGUUUUGUAAGUCUGUCGUGAAAUCCCCGGGCUCAACCUGGGAAUUGCGAUGGAGACUGCAAGGCUAGAAUCUGGCAGAGGGGGGUAGAAUUCCACGUGUAGCAGUGAAAUGCGUAGAGAUGUGGAGGAACACCGAUGGCGAAGGCAGCCCCCUGGGUCAAGAUUGACGCUCAUGCACGAAAGCGUGGGGAGCAAACAGGAUUAGAUACCCUGGUAGUCCACGCCCUAAACGAUGUCUACUAGUUGUCGGGUUUUAAUUAACUUGGUAACGCAGCUAACGCGUGAGUAGACCGCCUGGGGAGUACGGUCGCAAGNUUAAACGUUNAAAGGAAUUGACGG